UAGAUGCAGAAGAAGUGCUGCCGCCCUGUGU
This 31-nucleotide non-coding RNA is filed under the name Mus musculus (house mouse). Lineage: Eukaryota; Metazoa; Chordata; Mammalia; Rodentia; Muridae. The record is from RNAcentral.